GACGAACGCUGGCGGCGUGCCUAAUACAUGCAAGUUGAGCGCUGAAGGUUGGUACUUGUACCAACUGGAUGAGCAGCGAACGGGUGAGUAACGCGUGGGGAAUCUGCCUUUGAGCGGGGGACAACAUUUGGAAACGAAUGCUAAUACCGCAUAAAAACUUUAAACACAAGUUUUAAGUUUGAAAGAUGCAAUUGCAUCACUCAAAGAUGAUCCCGCGUUGUAUUAGCUAGUUGGUGAGGUAAAGGCUCACCAAGGCGAUGAUACAUAGCCGACCUGAGAGGGUGAUCGGCCACAUUGGGACUGAGAAACGGCCCAAACUCCUACGGGAGGCAGCAGUAGGGAAUCUUCGGCAAUGGACGAAAGUCUGACCGAGCAACGCCGCGUGAGUGAAGAAGGUUUUCGGAUCGUAAAACUCUGUUGGUAGAGAAGAACGUUGGUGAGAGUGGAAAGCUCAUCAAGUGACGGUAACUACCCAGAAAGGGACGGCUAACUACGUG
This 497-nucleotide ribosomal RNA is filed under the name uncultured bacterium. Its description in RNAcentral is "partial 16S ribosomal RNA". It matches the Rfam family "Bacterial small subunit ribosomal RNA", at positions 28 to 507 of the family's 1533-position model. The record is from RNAcentral.